ACAUGCAAGUCGAACGAUGAACCACCUUCGGGUGGGGAUUAGUGGCGAACGGGUGAGUAACACGUGGGCAAUCUGCCCUGCACUCUGGGACAAGCCCUGGAAACGGGGUCUAAUACCGGAUACUGACCUUCACGGGCAUCCGUGAGGGUCGAAAGCUCCGGCGGUGCAGGAUGAGCCCGCGGCCUAUCAGCUUGUUGGUGAGGUAACGGCUCACCAAGGCGACGACGGGUAGCCGGCCUGAGAGGGCGACCGGCCACACUGGGACUGAGACACGGCCCAGACUCCUACGGGAGGCAGCAGUGGGGAAUAUUGCACAAUGGGCGAAAGCCUGAUGCAGCGACGCCGCGUGAGGGAUGACGGCCUUCGGGUUGUAAACCUCUUUCAGCAGGGAAGAAGCGAAAGUGACGGUACCUGCAGAAGAAGCGCCGGCUAACUACGUGCCAGCAGCCGCGGUAAUACGUAGGGCGCGAGCGUUGUCCGGAAUUAUUGGGCGUAAAGAGCUCGUAGGCGGCUUGUCGCGUCGGUUGUGAAAGCCCGGGGCUUAACCCCGGGUCUGCAGUCGAUACGGGCAGGCUAGAGUUCGGUAGGGGAGAUCGGAAUUCCUGGUGUAGCGGUGAAAUGCGCAGAUAUCAGGAGGAACACCGGUGGCGAAGGCGGAUCUCUGGGCCGAUACUGACGCUGAGGAGCGAAAGCGUGGGGAGCGAACAGGAUUAGAUACCCUGGUAGUCCACGCCGUAAACGGUGGGCACUAGGUGUGGGCGACAUUCCACGUCGUCCGUGCCGCAGCUAACGCAUUAAGUGCCCCGCCUGGGG
RNAcentral lists this ribosomal RNA (813 nucleotides) under Streptomyces sp. RNAcentral's name for it is "bacterial SSU rRNA". It matches the Rfam family "Bacterial small subunit ribosomal RNA", at positions 53 to 878 of the family's 1533-position model. Lineage: Bacteria; Bacillati; Actinomycetota; Actinomycetes; Kitasatosporales; Streptomycetaceae. The record is from RNAcentral.